This 253-nucleotide ribosomal RNA is filed under the name uncultured bacterium. RNAcentral describes it as "partial 16S ribosomal RNA". It matches the Rfam family "Bacterial small subunit ribosomal RNA", at positions 524 to 776 of the family's 1533-position model. The record is from RNAcentral.
UACGUAGGGGGCAAGCGUUGUCCGGAAUCAUUGGGCGUAAAGCGCGUGUAGGCGGCUCGAUAAGUCUGUUCUGAAAGUCCAGGGCUCAACCCUGGGAUGCGGAUGGAUACUGUCGAGCUCGAGUCCGGAAGAGGCGAGUGGAAUUCCUGGUGUAGCGGUGAAAUGCGCAGAUAUCAGGAGGAACACCAAUGGCGAAGGCAGCUCGCUGGGACGUGACUGACGCUGAGACGCGAAAGCGUGGGGAUCAAACAGG